AAAUUUGGAGAAGGAGAAGGAUCAUUGUAUUCAAUGGGGUUAGGAACCAACCUGCAUAAUGAAAUGAUAUUUUGAUUUUAGAGAAGCGAAUUUGUGACCAAAUAUUAUGCAGAUAGACAAUUAUAUUGUUUAUUUAUGUUUUUUUGUGAUUACCAUUUUCAGAAUAAAGCAAAAAGUAAAAACAAAACAUCAUAGAUGUGGAUGAAUAGAAUUAAUUUUUUUGAUGAUCAAAUUUUAAAAUUCCCAAC
This 248-nucleotide long non-coding RNA is filed under the name Lathyrus oleraceus (garden pea). Its description in RNAcentral is "Pisum sativum (pea) long non-coding RNA (PSAT_LNC008968)". The record is from RNAcentral. Lineage: Eukaryota; Viridiplantae; Streptophyta; Magnoliopsida; Fabales; Fabaceae.